Molecule: non-coding RNA, 26 nt
Filed under: Rattus norvegicus (Norway rat)
Lineage: Eukaryota; Metazoa; Chordata; Mammalia; Rodentia; Muridae
Source: RNAcentral
CCCACAUGGCGGUGAUUGGUUUAGGA